AUCGUUUUGUGGUUUGUAAGUGUGAUGACUGAGUAUUCACACCAUUAUGUUAGAUACACCUCCCUCAAGCCUUGUUACGACUUUGGUAUGGUACUUGUCUGAUG
This is a small nucleolar RNA of Tupaia belangeri (northern tree shrew), 104 nucleotides long. The record is from Ensembl. NCBI's taxonomy places the organism in Eukaryota, Metazoa, Chordata, Mammalia, Scandentia, Tupaiidae.